This 4086-nucleotide long non-coding RNA is filed under the name Macaca fascicularis (crab-eating macaque). RNAcentral's name for it is "lncRNA (ENSMFAG00000054554.1)". Lineage: Eukaryota; Metazoa; Chordata; Mammalia; Primates; Cercopithecidae. The record is from RNAcentral.
UUAAAAAAAAGUUUUAUUAAAACAAAACUGUACAAAAAAGCAGUAUACUACAUUUUAAUUACAGAACAGUCUACUGUCCAAAAGGCACUAAUCCAGAAUAGGAGAUACAAUGAUACAGGACUCAUUUGAACUAUUUUAUUCAAUACAAUAGAGCGCUUGUUUCUUUGACCAUUUACAUCUAGAAACAAGGGCUUUUUGCUACAGCCAUUACACAUUGUUAUAAAUAUGAGUCCUACGGGUGGAGGUGCAGUAUCGCUCUCCCUAGAGGAGGUUCCCAUUAGAGGGACCACCGUGGAGCUCAGAGGCGGAUGGCAGCAGUGGGUGGGGCCUGGGACCUGCCACAUGGUUGGCCCGUCAGCCCCUGGGCACCCGGAGCUUGUCUUUCAGCCUGGCCUCUGGUGGUUGGUUUCUGGCCAUUAGUGGCAGCCACUUUCACCCCCUCUUGUGUUUUAGCACCGGCAAAGUGGGUUCUGAGAAGCUCCAGGUAACUGGGGCUGGAGGUGUGGGGGAUGAAGCGUCAGCAGCGGGGAGGCAUUGUGGUAACCUGAUCUGAAGAAAGGCAGCAACUACUCAGAAGAGGGAGACGAAGCCCAGGGACAGCCGAUGAGCCGGGCUACAGCCAGGCAGAGCCACCUGCUGCUUUCUGGGCAAACUCCUGGCCCCAAAAUAUGAGGGGCUGUUCCAAAGUUCAGAGACAUCCUGUGUCCUUUCCUGGUGGAUCCAGAAAAGUGACAUCGGAUCAUCUUUUGUCUUGGAAGUUGAUUUUUACGAGUGGGAUUUUGCUUCCCAGAGGGAAGUCAAAAUACAGUGACCAGCCUGAAGUGGGGGAGCCCUUUCCCUCCCUCAGCCCCACCUCAGGACCACGAGUGGCUCCAGGUCCCAGGUCCCACCACACCGUGUAGGGGAGCUGAACUCUGCUGGCUUACCUGUCUGUGUUUGGUGGCCAAGACAACUCUAAGCCCCAUGUUUAUUCUUUAAUGGCCUCUGGACCUCAGGAAGAGAGAUACUGCAGCUUUCCAAACAGUGUCAUACACAUAUAAGACAAAGACAGGCAUCUGAUGUUAACAAAAAUAAGUAACAAAGAAAUAGGAUUAAACCAAUCUCUUCUCACAGCAUCCUAUACUACAUCCUCCUUCUGCUUAGCAGAAAAUUGUACGUACACAAAAAUACAAAUACACAAUUUUGUAGAACAGUCUGAUUUUAAUAUAUUUAUAUAUAUUUAUAUUUAUACGAGUGGCAGGUUAGUUCAUUAUAUAGAGCUUUUUGCACUUUUGGCUCAUACGCAACAAGGCUUAUAAAUUCAGCUUCAGCUUUCAUUCAGGUUUUAUAGCUUUUGAACAAUUGUUUUCACAUUUAAAGCAGCAUCCAAUUUGCACUAGGAGUUUGUGGUGAUUAUAGGAAAGACAGGGUCAGGAGGUUAUCGAAGGGGCAGGGCGGGGGAGAUACAUUCCAGUGUGUGUGGUGAUGGACGGAGGAUGCCGUGGGACAGAGCUUACCAUGAUGACCCCUUGAGGUAGACUGAACACCUUACAGCAGACUCAGACACAGGUGUGACUCACCCUCAGGGACACAUGGUGUACAAGAUGGACAGGGACUAGAGGAGACGCCAAGGGGAAACACGAAGACUAAGACACACAGCAGCCGAGGCAGGGAGGAGCGCGCUGCCCCCACGCCCAUGUGGCAGGGAUCCCGCAUGGCCCAUCUUAGAAACUCAACUUAUUUGGUGGAUGCGAAACACUUCAGGCAAUCCCAAGGCAUCUGCUCCGGGGUAUCCGACGAGAUUACAGCCGUUAAGCUUGCUUUCCAUUUCAUAACUUGCUGUGCAGCUAGUUACCACCCCCAUGCUGAAGAGUAAAGCAAAGGUGCCGUGGUUCGGCAGUGGAAUCCACCCCCAGCACUCUGCUCGCGCUGGAGCUUUCAAGUCCGGUUACGUGAGAACAGACUAGGACUCUCUUGCUGCCUCUAAUUGCAUUUCACUGUCGCCCUCCCCAGUGCUCUGCACUCUCACUUACAUUCAUCUCUUCCCUAGACAAUUACAACUAGGGUAAUCAACAAGCACUUGGUAGAACCUGCAAAAAUAGCAUCUGGAGAACUGAGGGAUGACGCACUGCCAAGGGCCUGGUUUGGUUUACAUGCUACAGAAAAGCCUCAUUCUCAUGAUCACCACAGCACUGUUCCCCCAUUCGAUCACCUUUGUCAGCCUGCCUUCCCUUCUCUAUCAGGUCAUAAUUCCACUGGCAAGUUUGCCCAUGUGUCAAAUAUGAAUACCCAGUGUUUUGGGUCAUUACAUUGUCUGAACAAAAAUGCUGGAUUAUUAAUGAAAAUAAAGUGCCUGGGUAUGGAUUGUUCCAUUUUGCAAAACCUUUUAAUGCACCAACAAAUCAUCUGAGCGCUGCUUAGUGAUGUGAUUUGAACAGAGUGCAGUCACAAAAUAAUCUGUCGUACACCCAUCACAGAAUAAAGGCCCCAUAUUUAGAUCAGACUUAAAUUAUUUUUUAAAAAAGAAACAAAUACACUCACACUCAUUUCCAAAGACACACUUUGGAUCUGAAUGCCCGACUGCUGGUUUUCCCAAGCCCUCGUGAGCAGACACCCCGAUCCCUCUAGUCUAGGAAGAGAGGGCUCGCAAAGGCAGCUGGGGUUCCAGUGGCUCAUGCUGGCAGCUGAGUCAGGCUCAUGAGCUAGGAUGAUUCGACGCUUUGCCCUCUUGGAUGUGGAUACAUUUCCAACUCCUACCAAAGCCAGAGCUGGAAUGCUGCUGUGAGGCUGUCUUGCUCUCCUGUCUUCUUAGUGGCUACUGAGAUUUCCCUAAGCAGACUUAAAUUCUCUAUGAACCAAGACCAGAACCACAUAAACAGAAACAGCCCUAAAGAAACAAACGCUGGAAAACAGUGAUGAAGCCAGCCUGCUGUGGCUGUGAAGCGAUCUCCCGCGCUAGUUUGUCCCUGCCUUGUUCUGCCUGCAGAACGCCAGGGACACUGGAGAGGGGCAGCCGCCCUGUGCCCACCCUCAAGGGCCAGUGCAGGGUGGGGAGGGAUGGGGACAGGGCACAGGCCGACUCUCUGGCAGGUUCCAGAGGUCUGUAACUUGCUUAGGCACUUAAAAAACAUAAACAAAAAUUUAUCCUUGAAAGGUACUGCAUACCCAAUGUGACCAUGGCCGUGGAAGGCAGGGCAAGCCCGGGCUGGGGGGAGGUCAUAGAAGGCGGUGGGCUCUUCCAGGGGAGGCAAUGAUGAUGCACUUGGCAUCUCUCGGCAAGGGGAGUGUCCUGCCUUGCAGCCAGGGUGUGUCUGACGACACCAGUGCUGUGAUGGCUUAGGGGCCAGGGACUUGGCCCAGCAGAGGCCUUCCCAUGACCGUGUUCUACAGCCCCCUGGAAAAGUGGCUAGAAGAGGCAGGGGUGGGGAGGCUCCCAGGGUCUAUCCAGAUGCCCGCCAUGGGUCGGGGAGGCACAGGCUGCACACGCUUUCUAGAGUCAACAUGAGGCAACUACUAGGAAAAGAGGAGGCCCUUCUGAGUGUUCCGACAAAACUGAGGAGCGGUCAGGGGACGCCCUGCCCAAGCUCCCAGUGCUUUGAAAGAAAAGCUCCACUCCCCACCUCCAGAACUUUGGUUUUGGUUUCAGGGUGCCCAUUUUCAGAGAUGCAGUAUUAAGGGGAUCACCGAUUCUAACAUAAUGAAAUGUGGUUUUCAAGGCAUACAACAAUGCUGCCUGAAAGCAGCCACCACUGAACACACGCCUUCAUGCGGCCCACUCUUCUAACUCUGUCCCUGCCCCCCGUGAAUCUGGUUUAAGAACAAGAGUUCAAUGGAACACACCAGAGUGGCUGCUGCUCACAUUAGUAUGACUGAUGUCAUUCUGUGUCCAGCUUAAUACCUCCAGCAAAUGAUGAGGUGGAAAAGUGACUCUCACGAGUUUAUGCUGGGAUCUUAGUUCCAGUAAUGGAAGGAAAGGAGAGGUUUCUGUGCUCAAAGGAAGCCACAAAACAUGACUGAAAUUUAGACUUAGCCCGAAGUGACAGGAAGUUGAAAAAGUCCUAAAGGGAAGAAGGAAUAAACCUUGAAACACAAAUUCAGUGACUUGUC